GACGAACGCUGGCGGCGUGCUUAACACAUGCAAGUCGAACGGAAAGGCCCUGCUUUCGUGGGGCGCUCGAGUGGCGAACGGGUGUGUAACACGUGAGUAACCUGCCCUUGACUUUGGGAUAACUUCAGGAAACUGGGGCUAAUACCGGAUAGGCGCUCCUGCUGCAUGGUGGGGGUAGGUAAGUUUCGGCGGUUGGGGUUGGACUCGCGGCUUAUCUGCUUGUGGGUGGGUGAGUGGCUUACAAAGGCACUGACGGGUAGCCGGCCUGGGUGGGUGACCGGCCACAUUGGGACUGGGUAAGGGCCCAAACUCCUACGGGGGGCGGCGGUGGGGAAAAUUGCACAAUGGGCGAAGGCCGGAGGCAGCAACGCCGCGUGCGGAAUGACGGCCUUCGGUUUGAAAACCGCUUUCGCCGGUGACGAAGCGUGUGUGACGGUAAUUGGUAAAGAAGCACCGGCUAACUACGUG
Molecule: ribosomal RNA, 468 nt
Filed under: uncultured bacterium
Lineage: Bacteria
Description: partial 16S ribosomal RNA
Rfam family: Bacterial small subunit ribosomal RNA
Source: RNAcentral